RNAcentral lists this ribosomal RNA (449 nucleotides) under uncultured bacterium. RNAcentral's name for it is "bacterial SSU rRNA". It matches the Rfam family "Bacterial small subunit ribosomal RNA", at positions 329 to 793 of the family's 1533-position model. The record is from RNAcentral.
AUCCAGACUCCUACGGGAGGCAGCAGUGGGGAAUAUUGCACAAUGGGGGAAACCCUGAUGCAGCGACGCCGCGUGAGCGAUGAAGUAUUUCGGUAUGUAAAGCUCUAUCAGCAGGGAAGAAGAUGACGGUACCUGACUAAGAAGCCCCGGCUAACUACGUGCCAGCAGCCGCGGUAAUACGUAGGGGGCAAGCGUUAUCCGGAUUUACUGGGUGUAAAGGGAGCGUAGACGGCGAUGCAAGCCAGAUGUGAAAGCCCGGGGCUCAACCCCGGGACUGCAUUUGGAACUGUGUGGCUGGAGUGUCGGAGAGGCAGGCGGAAUUCCUAGUGUAGCGGUGAAAUGCGUAGAUAUUAGGAGGAACACCAGUGGCGAAGGCGGCCUGCUGGACGAUGACUGACGUUGAGGCUCGAAAGCGUGGGGAGCAAACAGGAUUAGAUACCCCCGUACUG